GUGAGGAAUAUUGGUCAAUGGGGGAAACCCUGAACCAGCAACGCCGCGUGGAUGAUGAAGGCCUUCGGGUUGUAAAAUCCUUUUCUGAGGGACGAUAAUGACGGUACCUCAGGAAGAAGUCCCGGCUAACUACGUGCCAGCAGCCGCGGUAAAACGUAGGGGGCGAGCGUUAUCCGGAUUUAUUGGGCGUAAAGCGCACGUAGGCGGCGCUGUAAGUUGGACGUGAAAGCUCCCGGCUCAACUGGGAGAGGUCGUUCAAAACUACAGUGCUUGAGGUUGGAAGAGGAGAGCGGAAUUCCCGGUGUAGUGGUGGAAUGCGUAGAUAUCGGGAGGAACACCAGUGGCGAAAGCGGCUCUCUGGUCCACACCUGACGCUGAGGUGCGAAAGCGUGGGUAGCAAACGGGAUUAGAAACCCCGGUAGUCC
RNAcentral lists this ribosomal RNA (425 nucleotides) under uncultured bacterium. Its description in RNAcentral is "bacterial SSU rRNA". It matches the Rfam family "Bacterial small subunit ribosomal RNA", at positions 354 to 796 of the family's 1533-position model. The record is from RNAcentral.